UUUUUUGCCGUCGGAGAUGGCUCCGGCACAGCAGUGGGUGACGGUUGGCUCCCUUCCCAGUGACUGGUUCUUCUUCUCCGUCGGGCUAGGGGGGGUUUGUGGCUAGGGUUAGGGUUUGGUGUGAAGUGAGGUAUUUAUAUCAAUGUCCUUUUAAUCUGGCCUAUCCAUCGCUUUUGAUCUGGACCGUCUGAUUGUGUUUAAAUAGAAAAUGAAUCUGAACCAUUCAUCACGAUUUGAUCUGGACUAUACGAUCGUAUUUAAAGAGAAAAUGAAUCUGGGUUGUUCAUCGUGUUUAAUCGUGACUGUUCGAUCGCGCUUGAGAAGGGAACAGAUCCAGACCGUCCACACGCGUGGGAAUAAAUUGGAUCAUCUGAUCGUGGGCAUGCGGAUUGCCAGUGUGGCCUCUCUGUGGCACCGCAUCAGUGUGCCUUGCCAUGCGGUGCGCUCCGGUUCAUUAGGGCCGCUGAUUGGGCGGUCUUACGUGAUACAUUUUUUUUAAAUUGUAUUUUGACCU
Molecule: long non-coding RNA, 514 nt
Filed under: Carica papaya (papaya)
Lineage: Eukaryota; Viridiplantae; Streptophyta; Magnoliopsida; Brassicales; Caricaceae
Description: long non-coding RNA (CPAP_LNC002877)
Source: RNAcentral